AUUAGCUAGAUGGUGAGAUAACAGCCCACCAUGGCAACGAUUGGUAGCCGGCCUGAGAGGGUGAUCGGCCACACUGGAACUGAGACACGGUCCAGACUCCUACGGGAGGCAGCAGUGGGGAAUAUUGGGCAAUGGGCGAAAGCCUUACCCAGCAAUGCCGCGUGUGUGAAGAAGGUCUUCGGAUUGUAAAGCACUAUAUUGGGGAAGAACACAAUGACGGUACCCAAGAGAAAAAGCCCCGGCUAAUUAUGUGCCAGCAGCCGCGGUAAUACAUAGGGGGCGAGCUUUGUCCGGAAUUACUGGGCGUAAAGGGUGCGUAGGUGGUAAUGUGUGUUGGAAGUGUAAUCCCUCGGGCUUAACUCAGGGGCUGCUUCCAAAACUACGUUACUUGAGUGUCGGAGAGGAAAACGGAAUUCCUAGUGUAGCGGUGAAAUGCUCAGAUAUUAGGAGGAACACCAGAGGCGAAGGCGGUUUUCUGGACGACAACUGACGCUGAGGCACGAAAGCGUGGGUAGCGAAUGGGAUUAGAUACCCCAGUAGUCCACGCCGUAAAUGAUGGGUACUUGAUGUUGGGAGUAUCAACUCUUCCAGUGUCGUAGCUAACGCGAU
RNAcentral lists this ribosomal RNA (609 nucleotides) under uncultured bacterium. RNAcentral's name for it is "bacterial SSU rRNA". It matches the Rfam family "Bacterial small subunit ribosomal RNA", at positions 240 to 861 of the family's 1533-position model. The record is from RNAcentral.